RNAcentral lists this ribosomal RNA (301 nucleotides) under uncultured bacterium. RNAcentral's name for it is "partial 16S ribosomal RNA". It matches the Rfam family "Bacterial small subunit ribosomal RNA", at positions 509 to 807 of the family's 1533-position model. The record is from RNAcentral.
CAGUAGCCACGGUAAUACGAAGGGGGCUAGCGUUGUUCGGAAUCACUGGGCGUAAAGCGCACGUAGGCGGACUUUUAAGUCAGAGGUGAAAUCCCAAGGCUCAACCUUGGAACUGCCUUUGAUACUGGGAGUCUUGAGGUCGAGAGAGGUGAGUGGAACUGCGAGUGUAGAGGUGAAAUUCGUAGAUAUUCGCAAGAACACCAGUGGCGAAGGCGGCUCACUGGCUCGAUUCUGACGCUGAGGUGCGAAAGCGUGGGGAGCAAACAGGAUUAGAGACCCCUGUAGUCCCUGUCUCUUAUAC